CACCGAGGUUUACAGAGUGUGGAAGACAGGGGACAGCAAGGGAGAAAAGUAACAGGUAGGAAAAGUUGAAGAAGCCAAGGCACCCAGGUCUUUGUGUGCAAAUAUGCAGCGAGGCAGCUUCUACAGGGGCUGAAGGAGAAGACUAAGGCAGAGGAGCUUGUUAUAACUAACACAACGGAGGGCCCCGCACACCCAUUCCGACUGUAGCGCUCGGGGCCACCCGGUGACCUUCGGAGAAGGAAGUUGGUGGAUCCUCUCGCUUCCCUGGAAAGGCAGCUGGGCGCGGGGGAGUGUGUGCGGAGCGCGGUUCUGCCUCUCUCGGCCAUGGCGGGGCAGAUCAAAGCCGCAGAUUUCCGCUCGCAAGCCCGGGACUAAGGCCGGGACAGCAGGCACCUUCCGGGCCGGGAGUUCAAGGUGAGCCGGCAGCUGGAGACUAACAGGAGACUCCAGUUCAAUCCUAGUUGGGAAGAUCCCCUGAAGAAGGAAAUGGCAACCCACUCCAGUAUUCUUGCCUGGAGAAUCCCAUGGACAGAGGAGCCUGGCGGGCUACAGUCCAUAGGGUCGCAAAGAGUCAGGUUUUUUGUCUAUUAUGAACAUAGUUACUAUGAACAUUUGCAACUUGCAGGAUCUUAGGUCUCUGAUCAGGGAUCGAACCUGAGCUCCAGGAAUGAAAGCACAGAGUCUUAACCACUGGAUUGCCAAAGAAUUCCCUUAAAUUUCUUUUUUUGAAAAUUUCAGGGAGGGGGGAUCGGGAUGGGGAAUACGUGUAAAUCUAUGGCUGAUUCAUAUCAAUGUAUGACAAAACCCGCUGAAAUGAUGUGAAGUAAUUAGCCUCCAACUAAUAAAAAAAAAAAAAAGAAAAUUUCA
This is a long non-coding RNA of Dama dama (fallow deer), 867 nucleotides long. RefSeq lists it as uncharacterized. NCBI's taxonomy places the organism in Eukaryota, Metazoa, Chordata, Mammalia, Artiodactyla, Cervidae. The record is from RefSeq and is a predicted model, not a curated record. The transcript has 4 exons.